This 1520-nucleotide ribosomal RNA is filed under the name uncultured bacterium. Its description in RNAcentral is "bacterial SSU rRNA". It matches the Rfam family "Bacterial small subunit ribosomal RNA". The record is from RNAcentral.
AGAGUUUGAUCCUGGCUCAGAACGAACGCUGGCGGCGUACCUAACACAUGCAAGUCGAACGAGAAAUUCCGAUUCGUCGGGAGAGUAAAGUGGCGAAUGGGUGAGUAAUGCGAGGGUAAUUUCCCCUUGAAUUAGGGAUAACUUUGCGAAAGCGAAGCUAAUACCUAAUAAGACUACGGUCUCUUAGGAGACAGUAGGAAAAGAUGGCCUCUGUUUCAAGCUAUUGUUUAAGGAUGAGCCCUUGUACUAUUAGCUAGUUGGUGAGGUAACGGCUCACCAAGGCGAAGAUGGUUAGCUGGUCUGAGAGGAUGAUCAGCCACACUGGAACUGAGACACGGUCCAGACUCCUACGGGAGGCAGCAGUGAGGAAUAUUGCGCAAUGGGGGAAACCCUGACGCAGUGACGCCGCGUGAGUGAUGAAGGCUUUCGAGUCGUAAAGCUCUGUGAGGUGGAAAGAAAUGUUCCAGUACUAAUAUUGCUGGAAUUUGACGGUACCACCAGAGGAAGCACCGGCUAACUCCGUGCCAGCAGCCGCGGUAAUACGGAGGGUGCAAGCGUUGUUCGGAAUUACUGGGCGUAAAGGGCGUGUAGGCGGUUUGGCAAGUCAGAUGUGAAAUCCCUUAGCUCAACUAAGGAAGUGCAUUUGAAACUGUUUAACUAGAGUACAGGAGGGGAAAGUGGAAUUCCCAGUGUAGAGGUGAAAUUCGUAGAUAUCGGGAGGAACAUCAGUGGCGAAGGCGGCCACCUGGACAUUUACUGACGCUGAGACGCGAAAGCGUGGGAGCAAACAGGAUUAGAUACUCUGGUAGUCCACGCCGUAAACGAUGAGAACUAGGUGCAGCGGAUAUUGACCUCUGCUGUGCCGUAGCUAACGCGUUAAGUUCUCCGCCUGGGGAGUACGGCCGCAAGGCUAAAACUCAAAGGAAUUGACGGGGGCCCGCACAAGCAGUGGAGCAUGUGGUUUAAUUCGAAGCAACGCGCAGAACCUUACCAGGGCUAGACAAACUAAGAAUCCUGAAGAAACUCGGGAGUGCUCGCAAGAGAACUUAGGUCCAGGUGCUGCAUGGCUGUCGUCAGCUCGUGUCGUGAGAUGUUGGGUUAAGUCCCGCAACGAGCGCAACCCUUAUCCUUAGUUGCCAUCAUUUAGUUGGGCACUCAAAGGAGACUGCCGGGGUCAACCCGGAGGAAGGUGGGGAUGACGUCAAGUCCUCAUGGCCCUUAUGUCCUGGGCUACACACGUGCUACAAUGGUCGGUACAAUGCGCUGCGAAGCCGCGAGGUGGAGCGAAUCGCAAAAAGCCGGCCUCAGUACGGAUUGCACUCUGCGACUCGAGUGCAUGAAGUCGGAAUUGCUAGUAAUCGCUGAUCAGCAGGCAGCGGUGAAUACGUUCCCGGGCCUCGUACACACCGCCCGUCACACCAUGGGAGUCGAGUGCUCCAGAAGUGGCCACGCUAACCCGCAAGGGAGGCAGGUCCCCAAGGAGUGUUUGGUAACUGGGGUGAAGUCGUAACAAGGUAACC